GCAGUCGAGCGGACCGACGGGAGCUUGCUCCCUUAGGUCAGCGGCGGACGGGUGAGUAACACGUGGGUAACCUGCCUGUAAGACUGGGAUAACUCCGGGAAACCGGGGCUAAUACCGGAUGCUUGAUUGAACCGCAUGGUUCAAUCAUAAAAGGUGGCUUUUAGCUACCACUUACAGAUGGACCCGCGGCGCAUUAGCUAGUUGGUGAGGUAACGGCUCACCAAGGCGACGAUGCGUAGCCGACCUGAGAGGGUGAUCGGCCACACUGGGACUGAGACACGGCCCAGACUCCUACGGGAGGCAGCAGUAGGGAAUCUUCCGCAAUGGACGAAAGUCUGACGGAGCAACGCCGCGUGAGUGAUGAAGGUUUUCGGAUCGUAAAACUCUGUUGUUAGGGAAGAACAAGUACCGUUCGAAUAGGGCGGCACCUUGACGGUACCUAACCAGAAAGCCACGGCUAACUACGUGCCAGCAGCCGCGGUAAUACGUAGGUGGCAAGCGUUGUCCGGAAUUAUUGGGCGUAAAGCGCGCGCAGGCGGUUUCUUAAGUCUGAUGUGAAAGCCCCCGGCUCAACCGGGGAGGGUCAUUGGAAACUGGGGAACUUGAGUGCAGAAGAGGAGAGUGGAAUUCCACGUGUAGCGGUGAAAUGCGUAGAGAUGUGGAGGAACACCAGUGGCGAAGGCGACUCUCUGGUCUGUAACUGACGCUGAGGCGCGAAAGCGUGGGGAGCGAACAGGAUUAGAUACCCUGGUAGUCCACGCCGUAAACGAUGAGUGCUAAGUGUUAGAGGGUUUCCGCCCUUUAGUGCUGCAGCAAACGCAUUAAGCACUCCGCCUGGGGAGUACGGUCGCAAGACUGAAACUCAAAGGAAUUGACGGGGGCCCGCACAAGCGGUGGAGCAUGUGGUUUAAUUCGAAGCAACGCGAGAACCUUAYCAGUCUUGACAUCCUCUGACAACCCUAGAGAUAGGCUUCCCUUUCGGGGCAGAGUG
Molecule: ribosomal RNA, 991 nt
Filed under: Bacillus licheniformis
Lineage: Bacteria; Bacillati; Bacillota; Bacilli; Caryophanales; Bacillaceae
Description: bacterial SSU rRNA
Rfam family: Bacterial small subunit ribosomal RNA
Source: RNAcentral